Molecule: long non-coding RNA, 2745 nt
Filed under: Penaeus japonicus
Lineage: Eukaryota; Metazoa; Arthropoda; Malacostraca; Decapoda; Penaeidae
Description: uncharacterized LOC122261954
Source: RNAcentral
GAUUUUAAGAGGAACAAUUAUUAUGGAACGCCAUCAUGAAAACACUAGUCUAACUUAAGAUGCCAGUGGACCUCAGAGAACUGCCCAUGGCACACAGUCUGAGGCCCCUCCAGGCUCCCACCCAACGACCAGGGGAGGAUGGAAGAGGGUGUCUACCAAAAUCAAGUAAACAAAAGAUAAGGACAGGGAAGUAGAAUUCUGUAGUUCGCAAUUCCUCCAAGCAGGGGUUAUUGUUAGAUGUGUAUAAACUUUCAGAAGUAGAUGUCUUAAUGUCAACAUUAACAGAGCAAAAGACUUGAAUUUGUUAAUAUAUCAGUAGGAUUCUUUAGGAAAAUGAUUUUCCUUCCCUAGUCGGACAAAAUCACCGUACAAAUCAAUGAUAUUGUUUUGUUGUCUUAAGACGCUAUUAUUUUGAGAUGGGAAUGAAAAUGGUUGUUUGGAGACUACAAUACAAUUUGAAAGCAUGUGUAUGAAAGGCCUUUGAUAAUGUCAAAAUUAUAAUUUUUUUACCUCAUCAUAAUUGUGAUAUUCUGUUUAUGAUUGUUAAUUAUUCAAUUACUCUGGAUUUCUAUUUUUAUUUUUUUAUGUAAUUCACUGGAAUUUAUUUGAUACAAUUAUUUACAGCAAUUAAUUGAGAAGUGCAUUUAUAGAGGCAGAUAAAAAACUAAAGACAAUGGAAUGAUAUUGUUCCAAGCUCUUGUGACUGUAGAUGGUUUUCCUAGCUAUAUAGAUUAAUAAAUAUUAAAAUAAUUAGGUUACAGAUAACAUAUAUUUAGCAUAAUGGUAACUCAGAAAACUGAAAAAGUUAUAUAUAAUUAGAAAGAAUAUUGUACCAUUUACAUUUUCUACUGGAAUUAUAGAAUGCUUUGUUAAAUCUCCCUGUUUCAUCUACUUGCCUUUAGACACCUAUACUGGCUUAUAGUAAUAAUAAAUCAGUAAAUAGAUAAAUAACUCCAAGAAACAGACAGAGAUCACAUAACAAGCCUCGACAAAUCUCAAAGGUUCAGGCACAGUCCCUUACCUAUAGUAUGUGUGGUAUACAAUGGAACUUCAUAGCCAUGAUCUUUCUGUGAUAUGAAGAAUUUUAUUUUCUAUCCUCUCUUUAUAAGCAGGGUCAUGGAUUUUAAAGAAAGAUCACUGUCAGUGGCAAAGAAAAUUAUUUAUGAUUAUGGUACCAAGAACUUGAAAAUUAAGUGAAAUGAGUGUAGUUAGAAGGAGGGAAUAGGACUCAGCAGAAUAAAGGAAGGAGUAUAGAAGAUCACAGAAAUUCAGGAAAAAUUAAAGAGAAGUUAGUUACCUAUAGUAAUAGCUUUUGCAACUGUUUACAUAAACAAAACAUUUUUAUGCCAUGGUAAGAAUGUCUUGUUGCCUUGUUUUGGUAAUAAAUUAUUGCAUUUAAAUUAAUUGUUAUUGUCACUUGUACACUUUACAUCAUGUCUUGCAUAACUCCAUUCAUUUUAAGAUCCCAAUUUUGUCAUUGGAAUUGAUAUUAAGGAUAUUUUUUCAGAGUAAUUAUCUUGAAAAUAGGUAAAGAGCAAAAUAGACUGAUAGAAAAACAAGUUAUCAUAUUGCCAAAGGAGCAAUCCAUAUGUGUGUCCCAUAGAUUAUUAUUUUACCCUUUUUUAUGUACUUCCAUCAUGACUGAGAGAUUCUUUCACAAAGAUUAACCUGCCUAACUUGUCAUGGUCUAAAGAAUAUCAUUUGCACAUUUAUUUAUCCAAAGGAGGAUGUCAUGAUAGGAUAUGUCACUGAAUAAGGUAGAAACUUUUUAGACUGAGCUUUGGUUAAAUCUUGUAGCCAUUACAGAGAUGCAGUCAGUGUGUUGAUCUAAUAAUCAUCUUCUUUGUGAUGUUUCUAACUUCUUGCAAUUUACUGGAAAUAUCCCACAUUUUCUUAUGGUCUUCAUAUGCUUAUGGCCUUGAGGUUCUGUUUGGUUUACUGUUUUUAUACAAUUAUCAAAUUGAGAAUCAGAGUUUUUUUUCUGGUAUAUUAGCUAUACAUCUCUGGUUGUGAGGGUGGGGUAUAGAUUGAUUUUAAUAAUCUUAAAUUCAAGUAUGAUUAUGAUAUUUGUUUUAUAUACUCUUCUCCAAUAGUGUACAAUGAAUACCACUCUUUUAUUUGCCUCUUUUACUUAAGAAUUAGGUUACAUAUACAUAUGUAUAUCAUUUAUUUGCAGCUUUAAGUUUUCAAAAACAGUAAUAUCAUAUAUUAUUAUUUCUUUGCCUGUUUAGUAAAAGCAUGCCAUUCUUUAUACUAGUAUACUGUGAAAAAUAUUUUCAAUUACACAUUUUGUACUUGUUUAUAUUCUGAUGCUUAAAGUAUGUACCAAAGAUCAUUGAUAAUUGUAUGAUUUGUACAACUUGUGUUGUACAAAUUUUCAUGUAGGUAAUUGCAGGUUUAAAAUACAAAAUAGGGAGUUCUCACCAUUGAAAAGGAUUUAAAGUGCUUCUAUUUAUCAGUAUCUGUAAUCUUUUUUAAUAUAAAUAUUUGUUUUCAUCUUACAGUCAUCAGCAGAGAAUGGAGUGAAAAGGAAGCUUGACAGAAAACCCAUCACUAGGCUGUGGUUUGCAACUGCUUUUUAUUAUUCAUUACAAGAAAACAAAUGGAGAAUAGCAAGUAAGUAGGAUAUGGAAAGAAAAUGUCAAGAUUUUUAGGCAGCUCUAUAGUUCAGUGAAGGAGAUAAUUUGGCAAGGGCAUUGGGAAUGGAGGAAGGUGUAUGUUGAAAAAUAAAUUUACAUAAAAUUG